This 1358-nucleotide ribosomal RNA is filed under the name Acinetobacter baumannii. RNAcentral's name for it is "partial 23S ribosomal RNA". It matches the Rfam family "Bacterial large subunit ribosomal RNA", at positions 1 to 1368 of the family's 2925-position model. The record is from RNAcentral. Lineage: Bacteria; Pseudomonadati; Pseudomonadota; Gammaproteobacteria; Moraxellales; Moraxellaceae.
GUUGUAUAGUCAAGUAAUUAAGUGCAUGUGGUGGAUGCCUUGGCAGUCAGAGGCGAUGAAAGACGUGAUAGCCUGCGAAAAGCUCCGGGGAGGCGGCAAAUAUCCUUUGAUCCGGAGAUGUCUGAAUGGGGGAACCCACCUACUUUAAGGUAGGUAUUGCAACAUGAAUACAUAGUGUUGCAAGGCGAACGAGGGGAAGUGAAACAUCUCAGUACCCUUAGGAAAAGAAAUCAAUUGAGAUUCCCUCAGUAGCGGCGAGCGAACGGGGAUCAGCCCAUUAAGUUAUGUGUGUUUUAGUGGAACGCUCUGGGAAGUGCGAACGUAGAGGGUGAUAUUCCCGUACACGAAAGGGCACACAUAAUGAUGACGAGUAGGGCGAGGCACGUGAAACCUUGUCUGAAUAUGGGGGGACCAUCCUCCAAGGCUAAAUACUCCUGACUGACCGAUAGUGAACCAGUACCGUGAGGGAAAGGCGAAAAGAACCCCUGUGAGGGGAGUGAAAUAGAUCCUGAAACCGCAUGCAUACAAGCAGUGGGAGCACCUUCGUGGUGUGACUGCGUACCUUUUGUAUAAUGGGUCAGCGACUUAUAUUCAGUAGCAAGGUUAACCGUAUAGGGGAGCCGUAGAGAAAUCGAGUCUUAAUAGGGCGUUUAGUUGCUGGGUAUAGACCCGAAACCAGGCGAUCUAUCCAUGAGCAGGUUGAAGGUUGGGUAACACUAACUGGAGGACCGAACCCACUGUCGUUGAAAAGCCAGGGGAUGACUUGUGGAUAGGGGUGAAAGGCUAAUCAAGCCUGGUGAUAGCUGGUUCUCCCCGAAAGCUAUUUAGGUAGCGCCUCGGACGAAUACCAUAGGGGGUAGAGCACUGUUUCGGCUAGGGGGUCAUCCCGACUUACCAAACCGAUGCAAACUCCGAAUACCUAUGAGUACUAUCCGGGAGACAGACUGCGGGUGCUAACGUCCGUAGUCAAGAGGAAAACAAUCCAGACCGCCAGCUAAGGCCCCAAAAUCAUAGUUAAGUGGGAAACGAUGUGGGAAGGCAUAGACAGCUAGGAGGUUGGCUUAGAAGCAGCCACCCUUUAAAGAAAGCGUAAUAGCUCACUAGUCGAGUCGGCCUGCGCGGAAGAUGUAACGGGGCUAAAACUAUGUGCCGAAGCUGCGGAUNNNNNNNNNNNNNNNNNNNNNNNNNNNNNNNNNNNNUUGACAUUAGUCAAGUGGUAGGGGAGCGUUCUGUAAGCCGAUGAAGGUGUAUUGAGAAGUAUGCUGGAGGUAUCAGAAGUGCGAAUGCUGACGUGAGUAACGACAAAACGGGUGAAAAACCCGUUCGCCGAAAGACCAAGGGUUCCAGUCCAACGUUAA